RNAcentral lists this ribosomal RNA (390 nucleotides) under uncultured bacterium. Its description in RNAcentral is "bacterial SSU rRNA". It matches the Rfam family "Bacterial small subunit ribosomal RNA", at positions 28 to 424 of the family's 1533-position model. The record is from RNAcentral.
GAUGAACGCUGGCGGCGUGCCUAAUACAUGCAAGUCGAGCGGUAAGGCCCUUCGGGGUACACGAGUGGCGAACGGGUGAGUAACACGUGGGUGAUCUGCCCUGCACUUCGGGAUAAGCCUGGGAAACUGGGUCUAAUACCGGAUAGGACUCCGAAUCGCAUGGUUUGGGGUGGAAAGCUUUUGCGGUGUGGGAUGGGCCCGCGGCCUAUCAGCUUGUUGGUGGGGUGAUGGCCUACCAAGGCGACGACGGGUAGCCGGCCUGAGAGGGUGUCCGGCCACACUGGGACUGAGAUACGGCCCAGACUCCUACGGGAGGCAGCAGUGGGGAAUAUUGCACAAUGGGCGCAAGCCUGAUGCAGCGACGCCGCGUGAGGGAUGACGGCCUCGGUU